UACGUAGGGUGCGAGCGUUUAUCGGAUUUACUGGGCGUAAAGCGUGCGCAGGCGGCCCGUUAAGACAGGUGUGAAAUCCCUGGGCUCAACCUAGGAAUUGCGCUUGUGACUGGCGGGCUCGAGUACGGUAGAGGGGGGUGGAAUUCCUGGUGUAGCAGUGAAAUGCGUAGAGAUCAGGAGGAACACCGAUGGCGAAGGCAGCCCCCUGGGCCUGUACUGACGCUCAUGCACGAAAGCGUGGGGAGCAAACAGG
RNAcentral lists this ribosomal RNA (253 nucleotides) under uncultured microorganism. Its description in RNAcentral is "partial 16S ribosomal RNA". It matches the Rfam family "Bacterial small subunit ribosomal RNA", at positions 524 to 776 of the family's 1533-position model. The record is from RNAcentral.